Ricinus communis (castor bean) is the source of this 1493-nucleotide long non-coding RNA. RefSeq lists it as uncharacterized. NCBI's taxonomy places the organism in Eukaryota, Viridiplantae, Streptophyta, Magnoliopsida, Malpighiales, Euphorbiaceae. The transcript has 2 exons. The record is from RefSeq and is a predicted model, not a curated record.
CUAGGUCACUUGUUGUUAUUAUGCUUUUAGUUUAAUACUUCAACUCUUCUUCAAAGUUCUUGCACUUGUCUUUUUCAGUAGCCACCUGUUAUAACCUAACUUUUGCUUAUGUAUUACAUAAACGCAAUGAUGAGACUAGGAUAAGUCUGAUGGAGCGAGCUUUGAGGUACGAAGAAAAAGGCUCUAAUAAACACUGAAAGGCAUUGGGAAGCUCCGGAAUGGAUGGAAAUAGAUUUGGAACCUUGAAACAUGAACCAAAGACCCCGAGACUCUAUCAGCCUUGAAACAGAAUCCUAUAAAUUCGAAAACCCUACAUCGAGACAAAUGAAAUCCUAAAACCCUUGAAAAGCAUGUGGGCUAAGUCUUGAGCUAAGCCAAGCACACGUGGGCUUAGGGAGGUCCAUGUGGGCUAAGCCUUGAGCUAAGUCCAUGUGAGUUAAGCUAAGCCCAUGGGGAGUAAGGCUAAGCCCACAUGGGCUAGGUGAUUACCCCACGUGGGCUAAGGCUCUAGAAGACAAUUGUUCUUGAAAUUCAAACAUAUGAGGCAUAUUCCCUCCUAGGGACACGUGUUUUCAUCUUGAAUAUUCUCCCAAAAUCCCAAAUUCCAUUCUUUACCCUCCAUUUCUUUAAACCAAUCACACCUCAUAAAAGCCUAAAAAACCUUAAACAUACCCAUAUAUAUUCAUCUCAUUCACAUACAAAAAAACCCUAAUGAUACAUAUCCUAAAAGAGGCAAAAAAAAAAAAACUAAGAAAAUAACAUUUUCCAGUAACCUUCUCAUCUUCUAAAAGAGAAGAGAACAAACCACAAACCCACUCAUUCAAGAAGUUUUCCCCAUUAACACCAAAUAUAUCAUUAAGCCUCUACCAUAUAACCUACACCUCCUUACCAAAAUAAACCUCAUCACCAAGGAAUUUGAAGCUUAAGAAAAGGCCAACAACAGUACCCACCAUUUUUAUUUCAUCAACUCAUUCUCUCAUUCCUUUUAAAAUAUCAAAAAUCCCAUUUCUACAUUAGGAAACCCCAAAAACACCGUCCUCCUUUUUCACUCACGUUUUAUAUGCUUUAUAGAGUAUUUCCAUAUGUUCCAGGAGAUCAUUGAAGCCUAUUGGGUGUUCUAGAAGCUUUCAUCAUCUCCUACCAUCUAAGCCUUCUCUUUUUACUUAUUUUACUAAAAGUAAUACCUCGAGGGUCAAAACCUAUGGAAUAAGCGUGCUUUGAUGUGGAUGAAUCUAAGGCUUACCUCACGCUGGUAAGCUCACAAAAGCUUCAAGCUUCCAUUUUUUAUGUUGUUCUUGAUGGAUUUGAGCCUUUGGGUCUAAUGGCUUAUGCUUGAGCCUAUCCUCUAAUAAGGAUCAUCUAUAGCCUAGGUUGAAUUUGAAUUAAUAUAUUGUUCGUGUGCUUGUGUUUUCUUGAGUUAGUGCUUACAUUAUUUAGGGUGUUAAAUAAUUUUCCCCUAUUAUAUUUGCUAAUCCGUUUUGUAUCCCCUUUAA